Molecule: small nuclear RNA, 141 nt
Filed under: Seriola dumerili (greater amberjack)
Lineage: Eukaryota; Metazoa; Chordata; Actinopteri; Carangiformes; Carangidae
Description: U4 spliceosomal RNA (ENSSDUG00000023182.1)
Rfam family: U4 spliceosomal RNA
About the family: U4 small nuclear RNA (U4 snRNA) is a component of the major U2-dependent spliceosome. The structure of U4 snRNA from yeast and human has been reported. U4 snRNA presents a k-turn RNA motif in the 5p-SL related to recognition of Snu13 protein.
Source: RNAcentral
AUCUUUGCGCAGUGGCAGUAUCGUAGCCUAUGAGGUUUAUCCGAGGCGCGAUUAUUGCUAGUUGAAAACUUUACCCAAUACCCCGCCUUGACGACUUGAAAUAUAGUCGGCAACGGCAAUUUUUGACAGUCUUUAAGGAGA